AGAGUUUGAUCCUGGCUCAGGAUGAACGCUAGCGGCAGGCUUAACACAUGCAAGUCGAGGGGCAGCGGGGAGGAAGCUUGCUUUCUCCGCCGGCGACCGGCGCACGGGUGAGUAACACGUAUGCAACCUGCCCCUGUCAGGGGGACAACCCGCCGAAAGGCGGGCUAAACCCGCGUACAUGCCACCGGGGCAUCCCGGAGGGCAGGAAAGGCUUCGGCCGGACAGGGAUGGGCAUGCGGCGGCAUUAGGCAGUAGGCGGGGUAACGGCCCACCUAACCGACGAUGCGUAGGGGUUCUGAGAGGAAGGUCCCCCACACUGGUACUGAGACACGGACCAGACUCCUACGGGAGGCAGCAGUGAGGAAUAUUGGUCAAUGGUCGGGAGGCUGAACCAGCCAAGCCGCGUGAGGGAGGAAGGUACAGAGUAUCGUAAACCUCUUUUGUCAGGGAACAAAGACGGGGACGCGUCCCCGGAUGAGUGUACCUGAAGAAAAAGCAUCGGCUAACUCCGUGCCAGCAGCCGCGGUAAUACGGAGGAUGCGAGCGUUAUCCGGAUUUAUUGGGUUUAAAGGGUGCGCAGGCGGUCUGUUAAGUCAGCGGUCAAAGCCCGGGGCUCAACCCCGGCCCGCCGUUGAAACUGGCAGUCUCGAGUUGGAGAGAAGUAUGCGGAAUGCGCGGUGUAGCGGUGAAAUGCAUAGAUAUCGCGCAGAACUCCGAUUGCGAAGGCAGCAUGCCGGCUCCACACUGACGCUGAGGCACGAAAGCGUGGGUAUCGAACAGGAUUAGAUACCCUGGUAGUCCACGCAGUAAACGAUGAAUGCUGGCUGUCCGGGGGGGACUGACCCCUGGGUGGCGAAGCGAAAGCGAUAAGCAUUCCACCUGGGGAGUACGCCGGCAACGGUGAAACUCAAAGGAAUUGACGGGGGCCCGCACAAGCGGAGGAACAUGUGGUUUAAUUCGAUGAUACGCGAGGAACCUUACCCGGGCUCAAACGGGGAGUGGCGCAGGCAGAGACGCCUGUUUCCCACGGGACACUCCCCGAGGUGCUGCAUGGUUGUCGUCAGCUCGUGCCGUGAGGUGUCGGCUUAAGUGCCAUAACGAGCGCAACCCCCGCGUGCAGUUGCUAACAGAUAACGCUGAGGACUCUGCACGGACUGCCGGCGCAAGCCGCGAGGAAGGCGGGGAUGACGUCAAAUCAGCACGGCCCUUACGUCCGGGGCGACACACGUGUUACAAUGGGUGGUACAGCGGGAAGCCAGGCGGCGACGCCGAGCGGAACCCGAAAUCCACUCUCAGUUCGGAUCGGAGUCUGCAACCCGACUCCGUGAAGCUGGAUUCGCUAGUAAUCGCACAUCAGCCAUGGCGCGGUGAAUACGUUCCCGGGCCUUGCACACACCGCCCGUCA
This 1405-nucleotide ribosomal RNA is filed under the name uncultured bacterium. RNAcentral's name for it is "16S ribosomal RNA". It matches the Rfam family "Bacterial small subunit ribosomal RNA". The record is from RNAcentral.